AGGCGACGUCCGCUCGCUCUCGGGCGGCUCAACUCCGGCGAGACGGCGAGGAGACGAAGCGGAGCAGGUGCAGGGAGGGGGCGUCUUCCUCAGAGCUGCAUGAGAGGGAGAGAGCCGGAGGGGUGUGCGCGUCUCUCUUUGAUGCAGAUGGCGGAGCCCUUGUGGAACUUUGAAUAGGAGAGCGAGAUGGUACGUACAUAUAUAUAUGUACUGAAUAUAGGGAAUAUAGGGACACCAGGAGAACACUACCCCUCAGACAUUCCCACAGUCCCCAUCACAGCAGGAAGAAUGUUUCAACUGGAAACAAUACAUCCUAUGACAAUAUCCAGCCGAGACAAAGAGGCAGUCCAAAUACGGGCUGCUCCACAAAAGCUAGCCCAGAUUUCAACGAGGGGCCAACGUACCUCAUAGGCAGGUCCUCAUUCCUGACAGAGAUCCCAGCCGCAGAGGGGGGACAGCGCAUGCUGUUGGCAUACAAACUCUGCACCAGAGCCAGCUCAGAAGAGUG
Long non-coding RNA from Scophthalmus maximus (turbot), 508 nucleotides. RefSeq lists it as uncharacterized. The transcript is spliced from 3 exons. Lineage: Eukaryota; Metazoa; Chordata; Actinopteri; Pleuronectiformes; Scophthalmidae. The record is from RefSeq and is a predicted model, not a curated record.